RNAcentral lists this ribosomal RNA (254 nucleotides) under uncultured bacterium. Its description in RNAcentral is "partial 16S ribosomal RNA". It matches the Rfam family "Bacterial small subunit ribosomal RNA", at positions 524 to 776 of the family's 1533-position model. The record is from RNAcentral.
CACGUAGGGGGCGAGCGUUGUCCGGAUUUAUUGGGCGUAAAGAGCUCGUAGGCGGCUCAUUAAGUCAGGUGUGAAAGCUCUGGGCUCAACUCAGAGACGCCAUCUGAUACUGAUGUGGCUAGAGUCCGGUAGGGGAGCGCGGAAUUCCUGGUGUAGCGGUGAAAUGCGCAGAUAUCAGGAGGAACACCAGCGGCGAAGGCGGCGCUCUGGGCCGGAACUGACGCUGAGGAGCGAAAGCGUGGGGAGCGAACAGG